GUAGUCCACGCUGUAAACGAUGAGUGCCAGGUGUCGGGGGGCUUUGCCCUUCGGCGCCGCAGCUAACGCCUUAAGCACUCCGCCUGGGGAGUACGGCCGCAAGGUUAAAACUCAAAGGAAUUGACGGGGCCCGCACAAGCGGUGGAGCAUGUGGUUUAAUUCGACGCAACGCGCAGAACCUUACCAGGCCUUGACAUCCCACGCGAUCCGGAGAGAUCCGGAGUUCCCUUCGGGGGACGUGGAGACAGGUGCUGCAUGGCUGUCGUCAGCUCGUGUCGUGAGAUGUUGGGUUAAG
RNAcentral lists this ribosomal RNA (295 nucleotides) under uncultured bacterium. Its description in RNAcentral is "partial 16S ribosomal RNA". It matches the Rfam family "Bacterial small subunit ribosomal RNA", at positions 790 to 1084 of the family's 1533-position model. The record is from RNAcentral.